AGCAGUAGGGAAUAUUGGGCAAUGGGCGAGAGCCUGACCCAGCCAUGCCGCGUGCAGGAAGAAGGCUUUCUGAGUCGUAAACUGCUUUUGACAGGGAAGAAUAAGGACUACGUGUAGUCUGAUGACGGUACCUGCAGAAUAAGCACCGGCUAACUCCGUGCCAGCAGCCGCGGUAAUACGGAGGGUGCGAGCGUUGUCCGGAUUUAUUGGGUUUAAAGGGUGCGUAGGCGGCUUUUUAAGUCUGGGGUGAAAGCCCGCUGCUCAACAGCGGAACUGCCCUGGAUACUGGAGAGCUUGAGAGUAGAGGAGGUUGGCGGAAUGGACAGAGUAGCGGUGAAAUGCAUAGAUACUGUCCAGAACCCCGAUUGCGAAGGCAGCUGACUACACUACAUCUGACGCUGAGG
This 404-nucleotide ribosomal RNA is filed under the name uncultured bacterium. RNAcentral describes it as "bacterial SSU rRNA". It matches the Rfam family "Bacterial small subunit ribosomal RNA", at positions 350 to 751 of the family's 1533-position model. The record is from RNAcentral.